RNAcentral lists this ribosomal RNA (373 nucleotides) under uncultured organism. RNAcentral describes it as "partial 16S ribosomal RNA". It matches the Rfam family "Bacterial small subunit ribosomal RNA", at positions 527 to 896 of the family's 1533-position model. The record is from RNAcentral.
GUAGGUGGCAAGCGUUGUCCGGAAUUAUUGGGCGUAAAGCGCGCGCAGGCGGUUCUUUAAGUCUGAUGUGAAAGCCCACGGCUCAACCGUGGAGGGUCAUUGGAAACUGGAGAACUUGAGUACAGAAGAGGAAAGCGGAAUUCCACGUGUAGCGGUGAAAUGCGUAGAGAUGUGGAGGAACACCAGUGGCGAAGGCGGCUUUCUGGUCUGUAACUGACGCUGAGGCGCGAAAGCGUGGGGAGCAAACAGGAUUAGAUACCCUGGUAGUCCACGCCGUAAACUAUGAGUGCUAAGUGUUAGGGGGGUUUCCGCCCCCCUUAGUGCUGCAGCUAACGCAUUAAGCACUCCGCCUGGGAGUACGGCCGCAAGGCUG